AUUGAACGCUGGCGGCAGGCCUAACACAUGCAAGUCGAACGGUAACAGGAAGCAGCUUGCUGCUUCGCUGACGAGUGGCGGACGGGUGAGUAAUGUCUGGGAAGCUGCCUGAUGGAGGGGGAUAACUACUGGAAACGGUAGCUAGUACCGCAUAAUGUCGCAAGACCAAAGAGGGGGACCUUCGGGCCUCUUGCCAUCGGAUGUGCCCAGAUGGGAUUAGCUUGUUGGUGGGGUAACGGCUCACCAAGGCGACGAUCCCUAGCUGGUCUGAGAGGAUGACCAGCCACACUAGAACUGAGACACGGUCCAGACUCCUACGGGAGGCAGCAGUGGGGAAUAUUGCACAAUGGGCGCAAGCCUGAUGCAGCCAUGCCGCGUGUAUGAAGAAGGCCUUCGGGUUGUAAAGUACUUUCAGCGGGGAGGAAGGGAGUAAAGUUAAUACCUUUGCUCAUUGACGUUACCCGCAGAAGAAGCACCGGCUAACUCCGUG
This 490-nucleotide ribosomal RNA is filed under the name uncultured bacterium. RNAcentral describes it as "partial 16S ribosomal RNA". It matches the Rfam family "Bacterial small subunit ribosomal RNA", at positions 30 to 507 of the family's 1533-position model. The record is from RNAcentral.